This 422-nucleotide ribosomal RNA is filed under the name Placotrochides scaphula. Its description in RNAcentral is "partial 16S ribosomal RNA". It matches the Rfam family "Bacterial large subunit ribosomal RNA", at positions 2003 to 2454 of the family's 2925-position model. The record is from RNAcentral. Lineage: Eukaryota; Metazoa; Cnidaria; Anthozoa; Scleractinia; Flabellidae.
CACGAGGGUCUCACUGUCUUAAGGAAAUUUCCAGUGAAAUUGAAUUUGUAGUGAAGAUGCUACAUCCAAAUUGUUAGACAAGAAGUCCCCAUGGAACUUUACUGGAGACUUAUGUGGCUUAAAUUAAUUUAUUUCUUACAAAUAAAUAGUUUUAAAAUGUGGUGUUAACCCCUCGGAUUAACUAGGGUUAUAAAGCUCACUCUUUUAUUUAAAGAAAGCCAACUCAAAAAUUUAUGUCUUUGGGAUUUUGAUAAGUGGGACAGUUUGGUUGGGGCGACCGCCUUUAAAAAAGUAACGAAGGCGGGCUUAAGAUACAUAUUUAGUGAUGUCUGACUGCCAAGGGGAGAUCCUGAGCAGACACUUACUUUUUAGGUGGGUUUAAGUGACCCGUUGAUUUAGGGUGAAAUAGUUAACGAUAAACA